This 1018-nucleotide long non-coding RNA is filed under the name Homo sapiens (human). RNAcentral's name for it is "long non-coding RNA NONHSAT215972.1". Lineage: Eukaryota; Metazoa; Chordata; Mammalia; Primates; Hominidae. The record is from RNAcentral.
GCCGUGUCUCGCAGUCGUGGACUCGUGCAGCUGGGGCGUCCGCAGCCGCUCGUCACCCGCGUGAUGCUGUUUCUGGCGUUGGGCAGCCCGUGGGCGGUCGAACUGCCUCUCUGCGGAAGGAGGACUGCAUUGUGUGCGGCCGCCGCGCUCCGAGGUCCCCGGGCCUCUGUCUCCCGGGCGUCCUCCAGCAGCGGGCCUUCGGGGCCGGUAGCCGGCUGGAGUACGGGGCCUUCGGGAGCCGCGCGCCUUCUCCGGCGUCCGGGUCGAGCGCAGAUCCCUGUUUAUUGGGAAGGAUAUGUUCGAUUCUUAAAUACGCCAUCUGACAAAUCAGAAGAUGGAAGGCUAAUUUAUACUGGCAAUAUGGCCCGAGCAGUGUUUGGUAAGUGUGAAAUGUUUCUCUUAUUCUACGAGUCUGAUUGGCCUUACAUUUCUGCCAUACAUUUUUACACAAAAUAAUGCUAUUUCUGAAAGUGUGCCUCUGCCUAUUCAAAUCAUAUUCUAUGGCAUCAUGGGAAGCUUUACGGUGAUCACCCCAGUGCUGCUUCACUUUAUUACAAAAGGCUAUGUCAUUCGAUUGUACCAUGAGGCCACAACAGACACUUAUAAAGCCAUUACCUACAAUGCUAUGCUUGCAGAAACGAGUACAGUGUUUCACCAGAAUGAUGUGAAGAUUCCAGAUGCUAAACAUGUAUUUACCACAUUUUAUGCUAAAACAAAAUCACUGUUAGUUAAUCCAGUGCUCUUUCCAAACCGUGAAGACUAUAUCCAUCUAAUGGGUUAUGACAAAGAAGAAUUUAUUUUGUAUAUGGAAGAAACCAGUGAAGAGAAACGGCAUAAAGAUGACAAAUGAGCCUAUUUGUUAGUGUUCGUGCUCAAAUGUGAUUUACGUUUUAAUGUAUAAUAAUAAAAUUGCCUUUUGCAUUCCGUUAGUGACUGAUUGUUAAAAAUAAUUUGAAAUUAUCAAAGCUUUUAAUUUCCAGAGAAUGAUGUUUGUUUAUAAUAAAACAAGCUAUGUUUG